This 5349-nucleotide long non-coding RNA is filed under the name Homo sapiens (human). RNAcentral describes it as "non-protein coding lnc-CLEC18B-5:1". Lineage: Eukaryota; Metazoa; Chordata; Mammalia; Primates; Hominidae. The record is from RNAcentral.
UUUGGUCUCUUUAGUUGGACUCCGGUGCUAUUUUCCUCAGUAUAUUUGAUGGUCUACCACAGGGGUCCCCAACCCCUGAGCCACAGACCAGUGUGAGUCCGUGGCCUGUUAGGAACUGGCCUGCACAGCAGGUGAGCAGCAGUUGAGUGAGCGAAACUCCAUCUAUGUUUACAGCUGCUCCCCGUUGCUCACAUUACCACCUGAGCUCUGCCUCCUGUCGGAUUAGCAGCCUUGUUAGAUUCUCAUAUGGGAGCAUGAACCCAAUUGUGAAUUCCGCGUGUGUGGGAUCUAGGUUGCACACCCCUUGUAAGAAUCUAAUGCCUGAUGAUCUGAGGUGGAACAGUUUCAUCCUGAAACCAUACCCCCGUCCCAAUCUGCGGAAAAAUUGUCUUCCAUGAAACCAACCGGUCCCUGGUGCCAAAAAGGUUGGGGACCACUGGCUUACAAGAUACUCUAUUCCCAUCUUUAGUUCUCUUGCCCCAAACAUAGAAUUAACUACUCUACUAGCUGUGUUUGUUCUUUUGGUGUAAAAAAAUGAUUUGAAUUCAAAACAUGGGGUUCUGUCAAAAUAGCACAGUGAAUUUGUGAAUUGAUCAUGUCUCUGCUCCAAAUAAAGAAACAAACUACAAGAAGAGAAAAAAACAAAAGAACUGGUUCAAAAACAAGAUAAAGAAUUCCACACGCCAGAAACACAGCAAAAGCGCAAAACGUGGGACGAGAAUGAAGCUGUGGGCUUGUUGCAUGUGGGGCCUGGCAAUCGGGCUGAGAGUUCAGCUGCUGUGGGCUGAAGGGGUCUGAAUAAACUCCAGCAUAUUAGGCACCAAAUUAAGAAAGAAAACCCCACUGUAUCCUAUUCUUGAUUACUCUAGUGAGUUCUUGUUCCUAUCUGUGUUAGUGAUUACUGGAAAGGGUGUUCUGAUCCAGACUCCAAGAGAGGGUUCUCGGAUCUCAUGUGAGAAAGAAUUCAGGGCGGGUCCACAGAGUAAAGUGCAAGCAAGUUUAUGAGAGAAGUAAAGAAACAAAAGAAUGGCUAUUCCACAGACAGAGCAGCACUGAGUGCUGCUGCUUGGCUAUUUUUAGGGUUAUUUCUUGAUUAAAUGCUAAAUAUGGGGUGGAUUAUUCAUGAGUUUUCCAGGAAAGGGGUGGGGAUUUCCCUUCUUUUCUAUCAUGUAAGGUCACUUCUGGACAUUUUUAUGGCCCUUGUAAGCUGUCACAUGCUGGUAGAAGUGUCUUUUAGUAUGCGAAUGUAAUACAAUUGGCGUUUAACGAGCAGUGUGGCGAAUGUAAUACAAUUGGCGUACAAUGAGGUCACUUUGGUUGCCAUCUUGGUUUUGGUGGGCUUUGGCUGGCUUCUUCACUGCAAUCUGUUUUAUCAGCACGGUCUUUAUGACCUGUAUUUUGUGAUACCAGUCUUUGAGACGGUCUCAUUAUGUUGCCCAGGUUGGUCUCAAACUCCUGGCCUCAAGGGAUCCUCCCGCCUUGGCCUUCCAAAAUGCUAGGAUUACAGGUGUGAGCCACUGCGCCUGAUUUGAACGUUUGGAUUUUAUAGUCAAGGUCUGCUGACUCUCUGUCAUUGGUCCACACUGGUUAAAAUCUGGAAUGUCUGUGUGUGGGGUACAUGAGAAGUAGCCUGAGUGGUAAAUGUUGACUGUUAUCCUGUCCCUGCACUCCAUAUGUGGUACUCACCCCUAAGCAUCAGCUUUCUGCCAAGGGCACAGGAUGCCUCUUGAUAAAUAUUAUAUGGCAGAGAAGAGUGCAGGAGAAAGGGUCUACUUUGGAUAGGAUUUUAGGGAAAGCAACUCAAAAGAGGUGUUUCAGCCUAAUGACCUGAAAGGUAAGAAGGAGCCAGAAGGCCGGGUGCAGUGUCUCACGCCUGUCAUCCAAGCACUUUGGGAGGCUGAGGCGCAGGAGAAUCACUUGAACCUGGGAGGGGGAGGUUGCAGUGAGCGGAGGUUGUGCCACUGUACUCCAGCCUGGGCAACAGAGUGAGACGCCGUCUCAAAACAAACAAAAACAAGUGGAGUAGUUAAGCAACCGCAUACAGAGGAGUUGGACACCCACCUCCCCUCCCAGACCCCAGCUCCUGCCCAUUCUCCAACUGCCGCAGACCAGAAGUGUAUUCAGGCCCAAGGCUUGGGGACUUGAGGGACAACAGAAGGCUAGGGAGGUGCAGAGCUGAAAAUCGGCAGAUAGAUAGAAGUCUUGAAACUUGAAGUGGAGGCUGAGUGCGGUGGCUCACACCUGUAAUCCUAGCACUUGGGAGUCUAAGGUGGGGAGACUAGCCUGGGUAACAUAGCAAGACACUUGUCUCUACAAAAAAUUAGCCAGGCGUGGUGGCGCACGUCUGUAGUUCCAUCUACUUGAGAGGCUGAGGUGGGAGGAUCGCUUGAGCCUGGGAGGUCAAGCUGCAGGGAGCUAUGAUCAUACCACUGCACCCUCAGUGACAGAGUGAGACCCUGUCUCUCAAAUAAAAAUAAAAAACUUGAAGUGGAUGAAAAGAUCUAAUAUGAAAGGUGAAAAUAUAAAGCUAAUGAUGUGUAAGUAUGAGAAUAGAUUUGGGACUUUAAGCUGGGGAAGGACUUCUUAAAUAUGAUUCACAAAGCACUAACCAUAGGGGAGAAUGGAUAGAUUUGUCUACAUCAAAAUAGAGGAUUUCUGUUCCACGAAGCUCCCCACAGAUAAAGUAACAGACAGAUGGGACUGACUGAAGAGAGUUGCCACACAAAACCGAAACAGGAGUUGUUUCCUGAAUAUUCAAGGGAUGUCUGCAAAUACGUCAUGACGACAAACAGCCCUGAAAUCUCAAUGGCUGAACCCAAGUUUUAUUCCAGCUAACAUCAAAUUGAAUGCAAGGCAAGUGUUUCUCUAGGACAUCUCUGCUCUCUAAAGGGACUCAGCAGUCAGGCUGCACCCUGUGUGACUUGCCAUCUCAACAUGUCCCUCCUCUAUCGCCCAGGCGAGAGAGACAGGAGAGGGUUUUCACUGUCUCAGUCUCACUCUCUCAUCAGGCUGGAGUGCAGUGGCCCGAUCUCGGCUCACUGCAUCCUCUAACUCCCUGGUUCAAGCAAUUCUCCUGCCUCAGCCUCCCAAGGAGCUGGGAUUCCAGGCAUGCACCACCACUCCCAGCUAAUUUUUGUAUUUUUAGUAGAGACGGGGUUUCACCAUGUUGGCCAGGCUGGUCUCUCUCCUGACCUUGUGAUCCACCCACCCUUGCCUCCCAGAGUGCUGGGAUUACAGGCGUGAGGCACUGCUUUUCAUUGUCCAGAACUCAUCUCGUGGCCUUCUCUGGAGCAAAGGGGUGGCAAGUGUAGUCUGCAGUAUGUCCAGGAAAGAGGAAUGUGGAACAGGAUUUGGGAACACAUAGUACUGUUGCUGCCACCAGCAGUUACAAGCUAUGAACUGAAUGAAUCUAUACAUACAGCCAUGAAGACAUGUCUUUAAAACAUAGUUUUGAGUUUUAAAAAAAGGUAGGAAAGAAUGAGAUUAAAGGGAAACUUAUAGAAAUUAAAACACAUGCACAUAGAACAUUAUGCUGCAUGGGCUGGGUACGGUGGCUCACGCCUGUAAUCCCAGCACUUUGGGAGGCUGAGGUGGGCGGAUCACCUGAGGUCAGGAGUUCAAGGACAUUAUGCUGCAUGUUCUUCGCGGAUCCAUCCAUAUCUAAGGACAUUUAUUAAACACAUUGAAGUGGCUAUAGCUUAUGUGUGUGGGAAGGAAGGGUGGUUAGAAUGAUAGAGGAAAUCAGGUAAAAAAAAUCAAAGGACACGUUUGAUGAUGGUGAUGAUGAUGAUGGCAGUCAUGAACUGAGGAGUGAGAUUCAUGCCACUCUACAUUUGAGGUUCUUUCUCCAGCCAUGUAACUCUGGCAAUGGAGUAGAAUAGGGAGGAGGGGGAAGGUGAGAACGUAGGUAGAAAGAGCUGUUGGGCAACUGUAGCAAUAAAACAGAAAAGAGAUGAAUGUUUGCACAUAGGCAGGGGCAGCAGGAAUGCAGAAGGGCAGGUGUCAGAGAGCGUCCACGUGGUAGGACCCACAGGACCAGGUGGCUGAAUGCAGAGGCUGAGGCUGAGCAGGGCGGCCAGUAUGGCUCCUGUGUUCUGAUGGCGUGUAGUGGCGUGACCAGCCAGGGUCUGCUCCCCAGGCACUUAAACUGUGAGUCCAUUAAUCCUCUUUUUCUUUAUAAAUUACCCAGUCUUGGGUGUGUCUUUAUCAGCAGUGUGAAAACGGACUAAUACAUAAGGGCUCAGAAGGGCCAACUGGAUGGGCAAAGAAGCCAUUGGUGACUUUAGUGAGAGCGACUUUAGUGGAAUGGUGGGGGGGCAAAAGCCAGAUUGCAGAUGAUUAAGGAAACAGUUGGAAGACAAGGAAGGCAACAGACAUAGAUUAGCCAUUUGCUGAAGGUUAACUGGGAAAAGAAGGAUGGAGGAAGGCUAUACCGGGGGCUGCAGAGUGCAGAUGUGCAUGUGUAAUAUGGGAGGGAGCUGAGGGUUUAUAUGCUGAGGGGUAAAAGGUGGGAUGGAGUCAGGAUUGAAAAUGAGGAAGAGAGGCCAGGUGCAGUAGCUCACGCCUGUAAUCUCAGCACUUUGGGAGGCCGAGGCGGGCAGAUGACAAGGUCAGGAGUUUGAGACCAGCCUGACCAACAUGGUGAAACCCCAUCUCUACUAAAAAUACAAAAAUUAGCCAGGUGUGGUGGCACACGCCUAUAAUCCUAGCUACUCAGGAGGCUGAGGUGGGAGAAUCACUUGAACCUGGGAGGCGGAGGUUGCAGUGAGCCAAGAUCAUGCCAUUGCACUCCAGUCUGGGUGACAGAAAAAAUUAGCUGGGCAUGGUGGCAGGCACCUAUAAUCCCAGCUACUCGAGAGGCUGAGGCAGGAGAAUCGCUUGAACCUAGGAGGCAAAGGUUUUAGUGAGCCGAGAUCACGCCACUGCACUCCAGCCUGGGUGACAGAGCAAGACUCGGUCUAAAAAAAAAAAAAAAAUGAAAACAAAGAAAAUGAAGAAGAUAGGGGCUCUACAUGAACCAAGGAUCCUAGCUGGUUAUUUUGAUUAAAAGAUGACUCAAAUGAUGUUAACACUGAUCAGACUUUAGCACGAGAGCUGCAGAGAAGGAAGACACUAUGAUGAGAAUAUAUUUGGGGUUUUGAGCUGGGAAAAGACUUCUUAAAUAUGAUCCAGAAAGUACUGGCCAUAAGGAAAAAAUGUUAACAGAUUUGUCUGCACCAAAAUCUACCAAGAGAGUCCUUUCAACUAGAACUGCCGUCACCACAAUGAUGAACAUGGGGAAAGAGGAGAGGUACCUGCUGUAUAUUCUCAGGCCUUUUAGAACACAUGGAGUUGUUCCUCUGGCCACAU